CCACUCAGAGAAGACGAGAUCAUCUCCUACCUUCUCAUUGGCCUGGGCGAAGAGUACGACCCGUUUGUGACAUCGAUGACAACGUGCACUGAUGAUUUUACUCUCAGCGAUGUCUAUGCUCAUUUUCUGAGCUUUUACA
This is a small nucleolar RNA of Phragmites australis (common reed), 139 nucleotides long. RefSeq annotates it as small nucleolar RNA Z247. The transcript has a single exon. The record is from RefSeq and is a predicted model, not a curated record. NCBI's taxonomy places the organism in Eukaryota, Viridiplantae, Streptophyta, Magnoliopsida, Poales, Poaceae.